Molecule: long non-coding RNA, 219 nt
Filed under: Lathyrus oleraceus (garden pea)
Lineage: Eukaryota; Viridiplantae; Streptophyta; Magnoliopsida; Fabales; Fabaceae
Description: Pisum sativum (pea) long non-coding RNA (PSAT_LNC013822)
Source: RNAcentral
UUUGGUCAUUACUUGGAUUUUGUUUGCAUAUUUCAUUUGGUUUGUAUGUUUGCACAUGGUAUGUCAUAAUCAUGUUAUGGUUUUGUAAAAAUGCCUUGGAUAUGGUUAGGUUUGAUGGCAUGAACAUGACAUGGUUUUUUUUUUAGGUUGGCAUGAUGAACAUGGUUUGGUCAAGGGUGACUUGCAUUUGAAGAAAGCAUGAUGAUCACCAAAUUUAAG